UGGAUCCACACUUUGAUCAUGGCUCAGGAUGAACGCUAGCUACAGGCUUAACACAUGCAAGUCGAGGGGAAACGACAUCGAAAGCUUGCUUUUGAUGGGCGUCGACCGGCGCACGGGUGAGUAACGCGUAUCCAACCUGCCCACCACUUGGGGAUAACCUUGCGAAAGUAAGACUAAUACCCAAUGAUAUCUCUAGAAGGCAUCAGAAAGAGAUUAAAGAUUUAUCGGUGAUGGAUGGGGAUGCGUCUGAUUAGCUUGUUGGCGGGGUAACGGCCCACCAAGGCGACGAUCAGUAGGGGUUCUGAGAGGAAGGCCCCCCACAUUGGAACUGAGACACGGUCCAAACUCCCACGGGAGGCAGCAGUGAGGAAUAUUGGUCAAUGGGCGAGAGCCUGAACCAGCCAAGUAGCGUGCAGGACGACGGCCCUAUGGGUUGUAAACUGCUUUUAUAGGGGAAUAAAGUGAGUCUCGUGAGACUUUUUGCAUGUACCUUAUGAAUAAGGACCGGCUAAUUCCGUGCCAGCAGCCGCGGUAAUACGGAAGGUCCGGGCGUUAUCCGGAUUUAUUGGGUUUAAAGGGAGCGUAGGCCGGAGAUUAAGCGUGUUGUGAAAUGUAGUGGCUCAACCUCUGCACUGCAGCGCGAACUGGUCUUCUUGAGUACGCACAACGUGGGCGGAAUUCGUGGUGUAGCGGUGAAAUGCUUAGAUAUCACGAAGAACUCCGAUUGCGAAGGCAGCUCACGGGAGCGCAACUGACGCUGAAGCUCGAAAGUGCGGGUAUCGAACAGGAUUAGAUACCCUGGUAGUCCGCACGGUAAACGAUGGAUGCCCGCUGUUGGCCUGAAUAGGUCAGCGGCCAGGCGAAAGCAUUAAGCAUCCCACCUGGGGAGUACGCCGGCAACGGUGCAACUCAAAUGAAUUGACGGA
This 926-nucleotide ribosomal RNA is filed under the name uncultured Bacteroidota bacterium. Its description in RNAcentral is "bacterial SSU rRNA". It matches the Rfam family "Bacterial small subunit ribosomal RNA", at positions 1 to 917 of the family's 1533-position model. Lineage: Bacteria; Pseudomonadati; Bacteroidota. The record is from RNAcentral.